CAACCAAAUACACAACACCCAACAACCUCUGUGCUUAACACCACAAAGAGCACCUACAGUGACCAGCUACAUGGGGCACCAAGAUGGAAACACAACUCCCCACAGCAUAAAGAUAUUCACAGCUCUCUGAUCUUUGGCACAUUGGACAGCAGAGUACAUUAGGCUGCCACGUGAAAAAGGAGUGGAGAAGGGAAGCCACUUCACCCAUUCAGAACAUUACAUCAGCUGCUGCUACCCUUUACAUUGGAAAUGCAUGAUAUAAGCGAAACUCCACAAAGGUGAAAGGGUUUCACACAGAAGAAACUUAUCUUAUCUCUGCUGCUCUUCCAAACCUUUGCACUUGCUUCCAGUGAACAACCAUCAGAUGGUACUGACUACAGCAGAAUUAAUCUGUGAUGCAGUUGUGAAAGGCUCCAUGCUCUAAUACCAGAAUCAUUCAAUCCCCUCAGCAAAGACAACACAUUGUCAGUGCUCACAGUAAGCAUUUUGGCCUUUCCCAGUCAUUGAAGGUUACAAAUUUCCAUCCCAGCAUUGUGGUUUGAACUGCAAUCUGAACUCAUGCCAGCAUAAUGGGACACCCAGUGAAGUUCACACCAGGCAACACAAAGGAAGAGAAACAAGGUUUUUGCUCCCAGUGUGAGAAGAAGGCUUAGGGUAUGAAAGCCUGGGAUAGAGACACCCAUCAACAAUAUAAAGCCGAGAAGCUAUAUGACUUCUGGGAAAUAUUCCAGGUCAAAACCUUGAAACGAUAAACUGUACAAACAGAAGGACAGGAAUCAAUUUACAGAACUAAUGCAAAGCAUCUGCAAUUGUUAGAAGCUUAGUAAUAUAAAACUGCAGAAAAACACAGUGGCCAUGAAAAAAAAAGCAAUUUCCGAGGAUUAUUCUAUAGAUAACAGCCAGUAGCUGAUUUUUUUUAGACUAACCUUUUUUCAGUUGCAGCUGAAAAUAAUAUGGACUGCAAACCAUGUAUCUAAUGAGUGCCUUCUUGUCUAAAUUAUGCUCUCAGUUAAACCUCUUCCUUUCUAAGAACAGGGGUAUAGUAAGCAAAACUAGCACUCUAUAAAAUAGCUGGUUAUGGAAAAGAUAUUGUAAUUGUAGAAAUUAUAACAAAAACAUGAAGACCAGACAUGAAGCAGA
This is a long non-coding RNA of Mauremys mutica (yellowpond turtle), 1140 nucleotides long. RefSeq lists it as uncharacterized. Lineage: Eukaryota; Metazoa; Chordata; Testudines; Geoemydidae. The transcript is spliced from 5 exons. The record is from RefSeq and is a predicted model, not a curated record.